This is a long non-coding RNA of Hevea brasiliensis (rubber tree), 206 nucleotides long. RefSeq lists it as uncharacterized. The record is from RefSeq and is a predicted model, not a curated record. The transcript is spliced from 2 exons. Lineage: Eukaryota; Viridiplantae; Streptophyta; Magnoliopsida; Malpighiales; Euphorbiaceae.
GCCCCUUCUCUGCUUAUUCUUAUUUGGAUACCCAAUCAAUUUGAAGCAUGACUCUUUGGUAUGUCCAAUGGCUUUGCUAGAAUCCUUCUUCUUAAUUGGAGGCUUAUCACCAGACCUUGUCCCUUCCUUCUUAAUUGCUGGAACUACCACCAUUGUUUUUGGCUCUCAUUCUGUUGUUAAUUGGAUGCGCAAUCUUGUAGAAAUUG